Molecule: ribosomal RNA, 674 nt
Filed under: Pictolejeunea picta
Lineage: Eukaryota; Viridiplantae; Streptophyta; Jungermanniopsida; Porellales; Lejeuneaceae
Description: eukaryotic LSU rRNA
Rfam family: 5.8S ribosomal RNA (bases 1-143)
Source: RNAcentral
ACGGAUAUCUUGGCUCUUGCAACGAUGAAGAACGCAGCGAAAUGCGAUACCUAGUGUGAAUUGCAGAAUUCCGCGAAUCAUCGAGUUUUUGAACGCAAGUUGCGCCCGAGGCUCGUUCCGAGGGCAUGCCUGCCUGAGCGUCCGCUCUGACCCACCCACUAACCUUCCUCCUCCUCCUCCUCCUCCCUCGGGAGGGGGGAGAGAGAGAGAGGGAGGUCGGAGUGCGCGUGGAAUUGGCCGUCCGGGAACCCGUCCGUCCUCUCCAGUGGUGGGCGGCCGAAGGAUUUGCGGUCGGCUGAAAAAAAACGGGAACCGUCCGUCGAGCGCGCACAGGGGGAAAGGAUGCGUCGCGAAAAGGUGCCGUCCUCUCUAACAUCGCCGUCCUCGGCUAGAGACGGGCGUUGGUAACACGGAAGCGUCGUGCCUCUCCUGUGGAGUUCGAUACUCGGCGGAUCGGUGGGUGAUCAAAAUGGGAACGGAAUGACUCCCGACAUCUUUCCCCGGCGUCUCGCCUUUCCGAGCGAGUGAUCGGGGAGCUGCGCGAGUCUGCACGUGACGAUGUUCGGACCUCAGAUCAGGCAAGACCACCCGCUGAGUUUAAGCAUAUCACUAAGCGGAGGAAAAGAAACUAACAAGGAUUUCCCUAGUAACGGCGAGCGAACCGGAAGUAGCCC